Long non-coding RNA from Dreissena polymorpha, 1624 nucleotides. RefSeq lists it as uncharacterized. The transcript has 3 exons. NCBI's taxonomy places the organism in Eukaryota, Metazoa, Mollusca, Bivalvia, Myida, Dreissenidae. The record is from RefSeq and is a predicted model, not a curated record.
CUCGUGUGAUUAUUAUCGGUUUAGACAGACGCGUGUUUUUAACAGAUGUCGGUGCAAAAUUAAUUGAAUAACACCCGCGAAUUGAGGUUUCAAAGACGAUCAUGGAAUGGGAUGCCAGUUUAUACAGGGAGGAGGUGGUUGGCAGUGCGGAAUCUAAAGAUACUUUGGGACUCAUUGGGAUGAAUUUUAAUCAGGUUAGAGGCACAGUGUCUUCCCCCGGGGUCCUAGUGAGCUCCGCCCCGGUUUGGUGUGUUCCUGGAUCCAGAUGCGUCCCAUGGGCGCUGUAUCGGUGGUUGAGGCUGCGAUGAGCCAAGCUGUUGAGCCGUUUCCGACUGGCGGUUUGGGGAAUCCCUGCGAGUUGCGUGUUGGGCCGUUUCCGACUAGCGGUUUGGGGGAUCCCUGCGGGGUGCGUGUUGGGCCGUUUCCGGCUGGCAGUUUGGGUGUUCCCUGCUAGGUGCGUGUGGGCGAGGAUUCCUCCUCCGGGAAGGCGAUGGCGAUUGUUGCUUUCGCGGAGUUCUGCGCUCAAGCACAGGAGAGGCAUCGCGCUGGCUACGCUCCUGCGACACAGUCUUGUUCGAGUCGUUGGACUGGGCACGAGGAGCCUGUGGCAUGGCUGGCUGUGUGUGGGAUCUGUUUACAUUUCUAGCUGGAGCAUACUGUGUGUUUGUGAAAAAAUUGUUGUGCUUUGUAACACUGCUGCCUUGCAUGAUCGUAUCCCAGUUUGGAAAGGCAUCAGCGACAACGCGACCAUCUUGAAUGAUUUUGGCUGGAUAUAUUAUGCUGGCCUUGCUUUUUGGAUAUUCUUGGCGGAGGCGCUUGAACUGUGGCCAUAAUUGCUUGCGAGCAUCAACAAUCUCGCGUGGAUAAUCUCUAUUUAUGUGAAAAAGUGUUCCGCGGAGCUUGUUAGCAUUCGAGAGGAUGUGCUCAGUAUCACGGAAAUCCAGACAGUAUAUAAUGAUGGGUCGUGUGGAGCCGUGCCGGAAUUUCCCCAGUCUGUGUAUUCGGGGGAUAGGAGGACAGGGGUCGAUCUCAAGCUUCUCUCUCAAGAAAGUUGAUAUUUUAUGGAGACAAUUUUCAUCCCUGUCCUCUGGGAUACCUCUGAUUAGAAGGUUAUUUCGGCGACACCUAGCUUCGAGAUCUAUUGACUUGUACUCUAGUAGCUUAAUUUGCCGAUCAUGGUUAGACAUUGUUGUUUCCAUAGUGUUUACUUUGUUUUGCAAGUUCAGACAACUGUCAACUUUAUGAGAUAUGCCUUUCAUUUCCUGGAAUAGCAUAGACAGCUUAGCAUCAAGUGAGAGACUCUCGUAGUCCGACAAUGUUUGAGACCGUUCGUACUCACUGUUACUGCUGCCCGUGUUACCCGAGGCCGCUUUUUCUCUCUUGUAGCCGUUGACCAAGGUCCGCCAUUUUGACUGAAAGUCUCAUUGCCCAACACAUUAAAAUCGUUUCUGGUGAGAAAUUGUGAUCGAGCGUCCGAGUUUUGAUGUUCCAUGUUUGUGAAAUGCUUGAACUUACACUUGUACACAUUAACAUACCAUUAUUAAAUGUUCAUAACAUUGUUUUCGUAGUUUUUGCUAUUUUUGUACUCUGUUAGAAAAAAAACCGCGGUUAUCCGCGCACUCGA